Molecule: long non-coding RNA, 6976 nt
Filed under: Vitis vinifera (wine grape)
Lineage: Eukaryota; Viridiplantae; Streptophyta; Magnoliopsida; Vitales; Vitaceae
Description: long non-coding RNA (VVIN_LNC003597)
Source: RNAcentral
AAGGGCAGGGAUGGGGUGACUAUGAGGACGAGCUUAAAAUCUUCAAAAUCCAGUAGGGAACUCAAGAAGUUGGAGUGGACGGUUAGUUACAAAAAGGCGAAAAUGGGAUCUAGCACGGGCUUUUCUAGAGGGGCUUCAGGAUCAGGGUGUAAAUGAAGAUAAGAAUUCUGUCAUGGAAUGUUAGAGGGGCUAAUGAUAGGGAUAAAAGGAGGAUCAUUAAGUCAAUUAUUAAAUCCCAGAGAGUGGAUGUGGUUUGUUUACAGGAAACUAAAAUUAAAGAAAUGUCUACGGGGCUUGUUCGAAGUUUGGGGGUGGGAAGAAAUAUAGAGUGGAGAGCAGUCAACUCUAGGGGAGCAGCUGGGGGUAUUUUGGUGUUCUGGGACAACAGGGUGGUGGAGCUGGUGGGAUGGGAAAAAGGAGUGUUCUCAAUUUCGUGCCGGUUCAAAAAUUGUGUGGAUGGUGUUGUGUGGGUGUUCACUGGGGUGUAUGGGCCGGUUUGCAGUGGUGAUAGAGAGGAGUUUUGGGAGGAACUUGGGUCAGUUAAAGGAUUAUGGAGUGACCCUUGGUGUGUGGGAGGGGAUUUCAACUUGGUAAGGUUUCCAGAGGAGCGUAGCAGGGGAGGUGGUCUUACAGCUUCUAUGAGGAGAUUCUCAGAAGUGGUAGAGGAUCUGGAGCUCAGGGACUAUCCAUUGAGGGGGGGUCCGUUUACUUGGAGAGGGGGUUUGAAUAACCGGGUCCAGUCUAGGCUGGAUAGGUUCUUAGUGACGGAUAGUUGGGAUAAUAUGUUCAAUGGUGCUGUGCAGGGCAUUCUCCCUAGACCUGUCUCGGAUCACUUCCCCAUUCUCUUGGAAGGAGGAGGUUUGAAGAGGGGUCCUUCCCCUUUCAGGUUUGAGAACAUGUGGUUGGAGGAGGAGGGUUUUAAAGACAAGUUGAAGAUGUGGUGGGGGAGUUUAAAGUUUACUGGGUCAGCUAGCUACAUUUUAGAUGCUAAACUGAGGGCCCUUAAAAAUAUUUUGAAGAUUUGGAAUAAGGAGGAGUUUGGGUUAGUUGAGGCUAAAAAGAUUGAAGCUCUUAAGCAGGUUGAGUACUGGGAUGAAAAGGAGAAAUAUGAUGUUUUAAAUAUGGAAGAUUGUGAAGCAAGAAAUGGAGCAAGGGAGGCCUACAAGUCUUGGGUGAUAAAAGAAGAGAUUUUCUGGAGACAGAAGUCUAGGGAGUUGUGGUUGAAGGAGGGGGAUAAUAAUACCAGAUUCUUUCAUAAGAUGGCGAAUGCUCAUUGUAGAAGAAACUGGCUGUCCAAGUUGAAAGUUAAUGGUUAUUGGCAUUCAGAGGAAAAUAACUUAAGAAACAGUGUGGUGGGGGCGUUUCAAGAGCUGUACCAGGAGGAAGAGGGGUGGCGUCCUAGUGUUGACGGGAUCUCUUUUAUGAGGUUAGAUAUCAGUGAGGCUGAGGGGUUGGAGAUCCCUUUCAAGGAGGAAGAGGUGUUAGCAGCUUUUACGGACCUAGGCAAAGACAAAGCCCCGGGGCCGGAUGGCUUUACAAUGGCAUUCUGGCUUUAUGGGUGGGAUGUGGUGAAGUUUGAAAUUAUGGGCUUUUUUAGAGAAUUCCAUGAAAGGGGCAGAUUUGUAAAAUCCCUAAAUGCAACCUUCUUGGUUUUAGUCCCUAAGAAGGGAGGGGCAGAAGAUUUGAAAGAUUUUAGACCGAUUAGCCUUGUGGGAAGCCUUUACAAGUUGUUGGCCAAGGUGUUGGCAAAUAGAAUCAAGAAGGUUAUGGGAACAGUGAUUUCGGAACCCCAAAAUGCGUUUGUGGAGGGUAGGCAAAUUCUUGAUGCAGUUUUGAUUGCUAAUGAGGCUGUGGACUCCAGAUUGAAAAGCAAUCAAGGGGGCGUGAUGUGCAAAUUGGAUAUAGAGAAGGCUUUUGAUCGUGUUGGCUGGAAGUUCUUGUUGGCUGUGUUAAAGCAAAUGGGAUUUGGGGAGAGAUGGAUUAUGUGGAUAAAGUGGUGUAUCUCAACUGUUAGAUACUCCGUUCUGAUAAAUGGCUCUCCUUCCGGAUUCUUCCAAAGCUCAAGGGGUUUGAGACAAGGUGACCCCCUAUCCCCUUACCUGUUUGUGAUAACUAUGGAGGUGUUUAGUUGCUUAAUGAGAAGGGCCAUCAGUGAGGGUUUUUUAUCUGGAUGGAGGGUUAGAGGUAGGGGUGGAGAAGGGAUUCUGAUAUCCCAUUUGCUCUUUGUGGACGACACCUUGGUGUUUUGUGAGGAGUCCCAGGAUCAGUUGACGUAUCUAAGUUGGCUUCUCAUGUGGUUUGAGGCUUGCUCAGGUCUGAAAGUUAACUUGGAGAAGAGUGAGCUUAUUCCGGUGGGGAUGGUGACUGAUAUAGAGGAUUUGGCUCUGGAGUUGGGUUGUAAGGUGGGUGGUCUGCCUUCCAGGUAUUUGGGUUUGCCUUUGGGGGCACCUUUCAAAUCAGAGGUGGUAUGGGAUUGUGUUGAAGAGAGGUUUAGGAAAAGGUUGGCUAUGUGGAAGAGACAGUAUAUUUCCAAGGGGGGAAGUGCUCUUGAUCAGAGGCCUCAUCUGGUUAGGUGGAAUCUGGUUUGCUUGGAAAGGAAGAAAGGUGGUUUGGGGGUAAGAAACUUAGCGUUGAUGAAUAAAGCUCUCUUAGGUAAGUGGAAUUGGCGUUUUGCCAUUGAAAGAGAGGUGCUGUGGAAGAAAGUGAUCAGUCACAAAUAUGGUGUAGAGGAGGGGGGUUGGUGUACUCGGGCCGAAAGAGGGAGGCAUGGUGUAGGGCUUUGGAAAGCUAUUAGAAAGGAGUGGUUGGGUAUGUAUAGCAGUUUAGCCUUCCGUGUGGGCAAUGGUCGGAGAGUGAGAUUCUGGAAGGAUAAGUGGUGUGGAGAUGAGCCUCUCUACGAAUCCUUCCCCUCUCUUUUUGCCAUUUCUCAGGCUAAAGACGCGUGGGUAUCGGAUGUGUGGAACCCAGAUGGUGUAGGGGAUGGUUGGACCCCUUUGUUCUCAAGGGCGCUUAAUGAUUGGGAAAUUGAGAUGAUGGAACAGUUUAUGCUUAAAAUCCAAGCUUUUAGGGUGCAAAGGGAGAACGAGGAUAAGAUGGUGUGGACAACAUCUAAAAGUGGUGUUUUCUCAGUCAAGUCACUCUACUCUUUUUUGGAGCCUGGUGGUUCAGCUAUGUUCCCUUAUAUUGGUAUUUGGAAAGCGAGUGUGCCGCCAAAGGUAGCUUUUUUCGCGUGGGAAGCAUCUUGGGGCAAAAUCUUAACUCUAGACCAACUUCAGAGGAGGGGUUAUUCUUUGGCAAAUAGGUGUUUUCUUUGUCUUGCUGAAGCAGAAACAGUGGAUCAUCUUUUACUCCAUUGUGUUAUGACGAGGACAUUGUGGAAUCUUCUUUUUUCUCUCUUUGGUGUGGAGUGGGUUCUCUCUGGUACAGUUAAGGAAACUCUCCUGGGGUGGUAUGGAGCGUUUGUGGGGAAAAUCCGUAAAAAGGCGUGGCAAAUGGCCCCCUUAUGUAUAUUUUGGUCAGUUUGGAAGGAAAGAAAUUCGUUGGCUUUUGGGAACGAGGUGUUGUCAAUCCAAAGGUUGAAACAUUCUUUUGUAUGUAAUUUGUGGUCAUGGGUGAGGAUGUUUAUAGUUUUGAGCCCGCGGUCUCUGGUUAGCUUUAUUGAGUGGCUCGGUUUUUGUUAUAGGUAGGGGUUUUGGCUCGCUUCCUUGGUUUAGAUUCGAGGGGCUGCUUUUGUAUACCCUUUGUAUACCUAGAGGACACUAGUUUGGUGUCUCCUCUUUCAUUUUAAUAUACUUCUCUUUACUUAUCAAAAAGAAAAAAAUUAGCAAUAAGAACUGCAUCAAGGAUUUGUCUUCCCUCUACAAGGGCAUUUUGGAACAUGGAAACUACUCUUCCCACCACCUUCUUCAACCUAUUGGUUAGAACCUAAGCUAAAAGUUGAUACAACCAACCCAUUAGAUUAAUUGGCCAUAAAUCUUUCAAAUCGUCUACACCACCUUUGAUAGGAAUUAGCACAAAGAAAGGGUGACAUGCAGAUUUUUUACAAACCUUUCUUGAUCUUAGAAUUCCCGGAAGAAGCCUAACACUCCCCCCUUCACAAAAUCACAACAGACUUGCCAGAAGUCCAAAGAGAACCCAUUAGGGCCAGGAGCCCUUUCCCCAUUCAAAUAUGACCAAGUGCUUAACACCUCCUCCUCAGAGAAAGGCACCCUAAGGCAUCAGCCUUUUGACUUUCUAAGGCUUUGAACAACAUCCCAUUGAUGCUAGGUCUCCAAUUUGUUGAAUCAGACAACAAAAUGUGAUAAGCCUGAGCAACCCUUCCUUCUAUAGUGCUGAAAUCUAAGGAUCCUGCGUCAUAUACUUUGUCUUUUGUGAAUUCUUUUAUGCCCUACUGUUCUGCAUUAAUUUUCUUAAAUAUAUACAUGCAUUGUGUAGUUUGAAGUGUUGUCCUUGUAGAGUUUGCUUCCUAGGGUGAGACAAUACCUAAAUUAUAAAAGAAGAUUAUUAUUAACAUGCUGCUUUGGACUUCAAAUGCAGACUUGGGUGGUAUGUUAACAAAAAGAUCUUAAGUUAUUUACUGUGCAGCUUGAGCAUUGAAUGUAUUUCUAAUUUUUGUUAGGUUGUGAUGUAGAAAAAUUAGAGAGCGCACUUAUUUUGUGGUUCCAUCUUAUGAUAUGUAUCCAUUGUUUUGGUUGGAAAAUUCAACUUAGAGUUGUACUUUUCACUUUUGCUCCUUUUCCUAAGUUAUAUAGUCCUGAAACCAUUGUAUAUAUUUCAUUUAUAAUUCAAGGAAACUUUUGUCAUGAAUAAUGUAACAUUACUAACCAGACUUAAUUUGGGUUGGACUCGGGUUGAGCCCAUGGGCACCCUAAGCCAACCUGAACAUGAUGUGAGAUACUUCUUUACAUUAUUGUUUUAAAAAUUCAUUACGUGUUUAUGGCUAUAUGUUUAUAUAAGAUGUUUAUGUUUUUCAAAUGAAAACUAAGGCUAUUUUGUUUUAAUUGUGGCUUCUAAUGAAGAGCUUUUGAGACUAUCUGUAUAGUGACCAUUGUAUUGGAUAUAACUUCAUUAGUGCAUUUUUCUCUCGUGCGUUUUUUUGCGCUUCUAAUACAUUCUCUUACCAAAAAAAACAACAAAAAAAAACUUAAUUAGUGCAUCUUUGGAAGUACUUUGCUGUGGACAAGUAAUAGAAGUGCAAUUUUGUCCCUUUAGAAAAUGUUGCUAGGACAAGCGUUACCUAAAAGAUCCACUUCAUUUUAGAGGUGGCAAUCAGACUGUUGGGUUUGAAUUUGGGUCAAUUGAAACAUGGCCAUAAAUAAAUUGAGAAAUGCAAAUCCAAAUCCACAUGGUUUGAUGUGGGAGUAACUAACUUAAAAAGAAUUAAUUAUUUGCCCAACCAAACCUCACCUGAUCUAGUCUGUUCUUAGGUUGAAUACUUCCAACAUGAGGUUGGACUGGUUAAGCUUGGGCAUCCUUCCAAUCUUAGGAUUGGGCUUAGAUUGGCCUUCAACCUGACCCUGCCUGGAGCUUUAGUUUAGUUGUGUCCUUGGGUUUUGAUGUGCAGCUGUCGGAUGUAGCUGUUCUGAAUUGCAUGGACAAGCCAAAUAUCUCUGGUGAUCACAUUGCUUGAGAAGAAUGCAAUCAAAAUGUAAUACUCAAUCAAUGAAGCACCUAAUGCCAAUGUAUCUGAGUUAUUGGUGGCCCACUAAUACACCAGCAACCAUCUUCACCUUGUCCCUAAUGCAAGAUACACAGGUUCUGGCUAGGGAAGUACUGGCCUAGGUGUUGCCCAGUUGAAAUUUCAACUACUUUGAGAUUUCAACCAUUACUAUUUGCUGACCACUGACUACAUUUGCGGCUUCUUGAACAUGCUUUUGCAUUAGUUGCUGUACUGACAUUGGUAAACCUUAUUAACGUAUUAAACAGAAUUUUGGUUUCUUUCUCUGUCUUGACUAUGCAAACAUGCUAUGUAUGUGUUUUCGUAUGUGGUUGCUUUUGAACUGCUAGUGAUGCUGUACACUGUGUAUGUCUCUUUUAGGAUUCUCUGUUGUCUGCAUGCUCCAAUAUUGGGGCACAUCAGCUGAAAUGACUGUUCUUUCUCUCUCUCACAUGGGUCAUUAACUACUGAUUUUUUUCUUUUUUUUUUUCCGGUAACUUUUUAUAGUCUUAUAAGGCAUUAUUUAUAUGGGAUUAAAUACUGAUCAUUGAAAUUGUUGUUUUUUUUUUGGGGAUGUUGGAUUUGGUUUCAGCCGGUUCUUGCAAUAUAGAGGCCCAUUUGCCAAAAGAAGGCAUCCAUUGGUGGACUCUACAGUAGUUUCAGAAAUAAGAAGAUGCCUUGAGGAUGGUGUUGAAUUUCAUGGUGAUUUGUUAAAUUUUAGGAAAGAUGGAUCUCCUUUGAUGAACAGAUUGCGGUUGACCCCUAUUUAUGGAGAUGAUGAAACGAUAACACACGUUAUUGGUAUCCAGUUCUUCACAGAAGCAAAUAUUGAUUUGGGUCCACUUCCGGGAUCUUUAGCAAAGGAAUCUGCACGAUCAUCAGGUCGAUUUCGUUCUGGUUUUCCCUCUUACCCUUCUGUUCCAGCUGGGAAUCGAAAUAUUUGUCGUGGGGUUUGUGGGAUAAUGCAAUUGAGCGAUGAAGUCCUGUCUCUCAAGAUACUUUCACUUUUGACACCAAGAGAUAUUGCUUCCAUCGGCUCUGUCUGUAGGCGGUUUUAUGAAAUAACAAAGAAUGAGGAUCUUUGGAGAAUGGUCUGCCAAAACGCAUGGGGAAGUGAGACAACUCGUGUUUUAGAGACAGUGCCAGGGGCAAAACAACUAGGGUGGGGUAGGCUGGCAAGGGAGCUGACAACACUUGAAGCAGCAGCAUGGAGGAAGCUGACUGUUGGAGGUGCUGUUGAACCCUCCCGUUGCAAUUUCAGUGCAUGUGCUGUUGGUAGUCGGGUUGUUCUCUUUGGUGGGGAAGGUGUUAACAUGCAGC